This 325-nucleotide unclassified non-coding RNA is filed under the name Hevea brasiliensis (rubber tree). Lineage: Eukaryota; Viridiplantae; Streptophyta; Magnoliopsida; Malpighiales; Euphorbiaceae. The record is from RNAcentral.
GUGAGAUACACACAUGUAUAUAGUGAUCAGAUGAUCAGAAGCUGGCAGCUGGAUGAUGAUGGAUGGAUGGAUGGAUCGUCGAUGAAGCAGGUAGGUAGAGAUGGAUGAUUACUUGUCGAUCUGGCCGAGCUUGCCGAGGCCGUUGCAGUUGGGGCAGACGAUCUGGGGGAGGUCCUUCCGGGCGGCGUUGGCGCGCAGCGUGGCGCCGCCCUUGCGCACGAACCCGGCGCCGUCGCACUCCGGGCACGUGUCCUUCCGCGAGAACAGUAUCGGGAACGCCGUCCCCACCAGCGCCACCGCCACCGCCCCCGCGAUCAGGUACGUG